RNAcentral lists this ribosomal RNA (253 nucleotides) under uncultured bacterium. Its description in RNAcentral is "partial 16S ribosomal RNA". It matches the Rfam family "Bacterial small subunit ribosomal RNA", at positions 524 to 776 of the family's 1533-position model. The record is from RNAcentral.
UACGAAGGGGGCGAGCGUUGUUCGGAAUCACUGGGCGUAAAGAGUGCGUAGGCGGUUAUGAAAGUUAGGAGUGAAAGCCCAGGGCUUAACCUUGGAAUUGCUCUUAAAACUACAUGACUCGAAUUCGGGAGAGGAUAGCGGAAUUGUCAGUGUAGCAGUGAAAUGCGUAGAUAUUGACAGGAACACCAGUGGCGUAAGCGGCUAUCUGGACCGACAUUGACGCUGAGGCACGAAAGCGUGGGGAUCAAACAGG